This 253-nucleotide ribosomal RNA is filed under the name uncultured bacterium. Its description in RNAcentral is "partial 16S ribosomal RNA". It matches the Rfam family "Bacterial small subunit ribosomal RNA", at positions 524 to 776 of the family's 1533-position model. The record is from RNAcentral.
UACGAAGGGUGCAAGCGUUACUCGGAAUUACUGGGCGUAAAGCGUGCGCAGGCGGCUUUGCAAGACAGAUGUGAAAUCCCCGGGCUUAACCUGGGAACUGCACUUGUGACUGCACAGCUGGAGUGCGGCAGAGGGGGAUGGAAUUCCGCGUGUAGCAGUGAAAUGCGUAGAUAUGCGGAGGAACACCGAUGGCGAAGGCAAUCCCCUGGGCCUGCACUGACGCUCAUGCACGAAAGCGUGGGGAGCAAACAGG